ACGAACGCUGGCGGCGUGCUUCACACAUGCAAGUCGAACGGAAAGGCCCUGCUUUUGUGGGGUGCUCGAGUGGCGAACGGGUGAGUAACACGUGAGUAACCUGCCCUUGACUUUGGGAUAACUUCAGGAAACUGGGGCUAAUACCGGAUAGGAGCUCCUGCUGCAUGGUGGGGGUUGGAAAGUUUCGGCGGUUGGGGAUGGACUCGCGGCUUAUCAGCUUGUUGGUGGGGUAGUGGCUUACCAAGGCUUUGACGGGUAGCCGGCCUGAGAGGGUGGCCGGCCACAUUGGGACUGAGAUACGGCCCAGACUCCUACGGGAGGCAGCAGUGGGGAAUAUUGCAUAAUGGGCGGAAGCCUGAUGCAGCAACGCCGCGUGCGGGAUGACGGCCUUCGGGUUGUAAACCGCUUUCGCCUGUGACGAAGCGUGAGUGACGGUAAUGGGUAAAGAAGCACCGGCUAACUACGUG
Molecule: ribosomal RNA, 467 nt
Filed under: uncultured bacterium
Lineage: Bacteria
Description: partial 16S ribosomal RNA
Rfam family: Bacterial small subunit ribosomal RNA
Source: RNAcentral